GGCUCAACUAAACGAGUAAACACAAGACCUUUUCUGGUUCUAUUCCAACGAGAUAUCCCACACCGAUCACAAACUGAAGCUCUUCAGACUUGAUAUCGUGGAAGCUCAACAAUGGUGUUCGUCCCUUCGGGGACAUCCGAUAAAAUUGGAACGAUACAGAGAAGAUUAGCAUGGCCCCUGCGCAAGGAUGACACGCACAAAUCGAGAAAUGGUCCAAAUUUUUUUUUGCCUUGCCGGCGGCGAUUCUCCGGCUGAAAUUUUUUCCUCACUUAUUUUUGCCGGUCGUCGUCGGCGGUGAUGCACUCUUACGAGGUUUCUUAAGCGAGAAGCCUUCCUAUGGCAAAGAUGAAAGAAAGGGACUUCAAUCGAAGGAAUGAUUCUUUUCAAUUAAGUUGUACGAAAUGUAGAGAUAUGAUCCUUUUCUGAAGUCCUCGCGAUUUAAGUUACAAAAGAAGUUUUUCUCCUAGCAUUGUGGCAGCUUAUACAUAAUUAUGCAUUUUGUGGGAUCUAUCCCUGAUUCCCAGAAGAUAGUGGAAGUUGGUUCAACAGAUGGACUGGAAAACGAGAAGACAAUUUUACCUGCUUAAGUGAAUACUGAACUUAUUUUUUUUUUUAAAAACUAACUUAUAAAAUUGCUUGUCUCCGCAAUGCAGCCUGUGGUCUAAGCCACUAGUUUUGUAUGUUGAAAAUUGGUAUGACUUUUGUGUGUCCGAAUAGCGUAAUCAACCAUAUGCUGUUUAUCGAGUUCUCCUUGAAGGCAUUUGUAAUGCGGUAAGAUAAUUUUAUCCUUGCACAUCUUGCGUUUAUCUUUUUUCAUGUAUGUGUUAACAUCAGAAUGUCUAAAUGGCUAAUAUCAUAUGGCACGGGUCAAACAAAAUGGAUUAGGUUCUAUUUACCUUUGCCUCGCAAUCCCCUAACUUCCUUCCUUAAUGAUUUGAUCUGAGAGAGAGGUGGUUUAACUGUGAUUCUCCUAAUUCUCAAAUUAUCUAUUUACCACGUGAGGUGAAUCAGAGUAGGUAACUUUUUAUUUCAAUCUCAGGUUUUGCAAAACACCUAAUUGAAUUGUUAAUGUGGAAUUUAUGCAAUAUGUUUGCUUUAAGACUUAAAUGAUAUGGUACAAUAUAUUUGUCGAUUGUUUUUCUUGGCAAUUCACAGUGGAUUCCUCUGGACCUGGAGGUUGUCCAUAUGCUCAGGUGCCUCUGGAAGUGUGACUACUGAGGAUGUUGCUUCAAUGCUUAUUGGACUAGGAGUGAAGACAAAUGUUGAUCUCAGAAAGCUUGUAUUGGCUGGAGACUUUAUACUUUAUUUGCAAACAUUUUUCGGUCAGCCUUCUGGUUCUGUGUUUGCCCUUGAGCUAUAAGCAACUGGUACUGCCUAAAUCUUAAGAGAAGGAGCUUUACGGCACAAUAAAAACCCUAGCUCAACAUGGGAGUCCGAUAAAAUUAGCAUGGCCCCUGCGCAAGGAUGACACGCACAAAUCGAGAAAUGGUCCAAAUUGUUUUUGCUGAGUUUUUCCGGUCGGCCGCGGCGAUGCUCUCUCCCGAGAUUUCUUGAGGUUCGUAAACCAUUCGAAGUUUUCCUUGUCCCUUUUUAUCUUCUGUACAAAAUUAGUUGACGGGGAUAGGCUUAUUAUGCCCUAGUGUAAUUUUUUAUUCUGAUAUUAAUGUUUUUGUAAAAUUCACUCAUGAAACAUUUAUAAAUAUGAGCACGUACAGUAUAUCCUGCGUGGUCCACAUUUAUAAAUAUGAGAACUUACAGUAUAUCCUGCGUGGUCUUUUGUGUUUCUUCUCUUUGAAUGUAAAUAAAUCUUGAGCCAAAUUGAGUGAUCGUCUAAGUUGCACGGACUCUUCGAUUUUGGUGCCAUCCCCGUCCCGAUACGAGACGGGGACGGGAGCGGGAGCGGGAUACGUCCCGGAUUCGGUCAACUGACUUCGGACACUUUGA
Long non-coding RNA from Nicotiana attenuata, 1944 nucleotides. RefSeq lists it as uncharacterized. The record is from RefSeq and is a predicted model, not a curated record. NCBI's taxonomy places the organism in Eukaryota, Viridiplantae, Streptophyta, Magnoliopsida, Solanales, Solanaceae. The transcript is spliced from 3 exons.